This 431-nucleotide ribosomal RNA is filed under the name uncultured bacterium. RNAcentral's name for it is "partial 16S ribosomal RNA". It matches the Rfam family "Bacterial small subunit ribosomal RNA", at positions 29 to 507 of the family's 1533-position model. The record is from RNAcentral.
AACGAACGCUGGCGGCAGGCUUAACACAUGCAAGUCGAGCGCCCCGCACGGGGAGCGGCAGACGGGUGAGUAACGUGUGGGAACGUACCUUUUGGUUCGGAACAACUCCGGGAAACUGGAGCUAAUACCGGAUAAGCCCUAACGGGGAAAGAUUUAUCGCCGAAAGAUCGGCCCGCGUCUGAUUAGCUAGUUGGUGAGGUAACGGCUCACCAAGGCGACGAUCAGUAGCUGGUCUGAGAGGAUGAUCAGCCACACUGGGACUGAGACACGGCCCAGACUCCUACGGGAGGCAGCAGUGGGGAAUAUUGGACAAUGGGCGCAAGCCUGAUCCAGCCAUGCCGCGUGAGUGAUGAAGGCCUUAGGGUUGUAAAGCUCUUUUGUCCGGGAAGAUAAUGACUGUACCGGAAGAAUAAGCCCCGGCUAACUUCGUG